This 1169-nucleotide long non-coding RNA is filed under the name Homo sapiens (human). Its description in RNAcentral is "HSALNT0323840". Lineage: Eukaryota; Metazoa; Chordata; Mammalia; Primates; Hominidae. The record is from RNAcentral.
CGCUCGCCCCGGGAGGGAGCCCGCGGCCAGGGCUGGACUCUCGCCCCGCCACCUCCACCGACUCUCUCCUCAGCCUCCGCGCCUGGCACCGCAGCAAGACUUGAAUGAAGUGAUCAUGUAAACUAGAGAAAGGAGAUUAAAAAUAACCUCUGGAUAUUCCUCUCAUGUGAUCUUUAUUCUGGAUGAAGCAUUAGGACAGCUAAUAGCCGUGUGUCACUGGGAUGGAUGAGGAAGACCCAGAGGAAAAUUCCAGAGGUGAUGGGUUCUGGAAGUAAAAAUUGAUAGGGAAGAUGAAGAAAUGCAUACAUAUUCAAGAUCUCGCUAAAGGGUAAGCUUUGGGUGAGAAACAAAUGAGAAAGCAAAGCCAUAGAUGGUUCUAUCAUUAAUGGUGAUAUAGAAAACCUUAGAAUCCAGUACAUAGAAGGUGGAGUUCAAGAGCUCCAUUUGAGCCUGUUAGGUUUGAAGGGAGUUCAAGAGCUCCAUUUGAGCCUGUUGGGUUUGAAAGAAUUAUUGGAUAUUUAAAUGAAGAAGUCAGGUAAGCACGCUAUUUUGGUCUAGUGCUGUGAGAGUGAUAUGACAGUAUGUGUCAUUAAGCGGUAUUUCAAUGUGGAAAACAUAACAGACAAGAGAACAGACCUCAGGACUGAAUGAACUCUGAGGCUCUCCAGCAAAGGCCCAGGAGGAGAAAAAGCAAAAACAGGAGCUGGGGUGGAAGGAAAAUUUGAAGAGCGCAGACAGUCUCUCAAAAAUUGCUUUAGUGUUUCAGGCAAGACGAAGUAGUCAAAUAUGUUGAGAAAUUGGAAAAAUGUUAAAAAUGCCCAUUGGAAUUGGCAAGAUGAAGUCCCAGGUAUCACUGACAGUGAUGGUGAAGAUGAGGAAGGAGAAGCCGUCAGUGUGUUGUUGAAGAAUGAAUCGAGGAAGGGGGUGUUUGUGUGGGUAUGUAUGUGUACUGGAGCAACAAACCUAGACAAUUUUUUAUUGAGAAAUUUUAAUACUGGAUGCAUCUGAGCACACUUUUAGGUGUGCUUGAAACCAUUCAGGAGGGAGGGGAAGCUUAGUGAUGCAGGGAAGAGGAGUAAAUGAAGGAGGAAGCUUCUCAAAAAAGCUAGAAGGAACUUCAGAGUGUAUGAAAAAUUUGAUUUUUUUUUUUUUUUUUUUUGAGAUGGAGC